This 396-nucleotide ribosomal RNA is filed under the name uncultured bacterium. RNAcentral's name for it is "partial 16S ribosomal RNA". It matches the Rfam family "Bacterial small subunit ribosomal RNA", at positions 523 to 918 of the family's 1533-position model. The record is from RNAcentral.
AUACAGAGGGUGCGAGCGUUAAUCGGAUUUACUGGGCGUAAAGCGCGCGUAGGUGGUUAAUUAAGUCAAAUGUGAAAUCCCCGAGCUUAACUUGGGAAUUGCAUUCGAUACUGGUUAGCUAGAGUAUGGGAGAGGAUGGUAGAAUUCCAGGUGUAGCGGUGAAAUGCGUAGAGAUAUGGAGGAAUACCGAUGGCGAAGGCAGCCAUCUGGCCUAAUACUGACACUGAGGUGCGAAAGCAUGGGGAGCAAACAGGAUUAGAUACCCUGGUAGUCCAUGCCGUAAACGAUGUCUACUAGCCGUUGGGGGAUUUGAUCCUUUAGUGGCGCAGCUAACGCGAUAAGUAGACCGCCUGGGGAGUACGGUCGCAAGACUAAAACUCAAAUGAAUUGACGGGG